Molecule: microRNA, 25 nt
Filed under: Bombyx mori (domestic silkworm)
Lineage: Eukaryota; Metazoa; Arthropoda; Insecta; Lepidoptera; Bombycidae
Description: bmo-miR-3308-5p
Source: miRBase by way of RNAcentral
UACUUUAUCUUGGUAAUUGGUUGUC